Molecule: ribosomal RNA, 239 nt
Filed under: uncultured bacterium
Lineage: Bacteria
Description: partial 16S ribosomal RNA
Rfam family: Bacterial small subunit ribosomal RNA
Source: RNAcentral
GAUCCUGGCUCAGGAUGAACGCUGGCGGCGUGCUUAACACAUGCAAGUAGAACGAAGCACUUAAACCUGAUUCUUCGGAUGAAGGUUUUUGUGACUGAGUGGCGGACGGGUGAGUAACGCGUGGGUAACCUGCCUCAUACAGGGGGAUAACAGUUAGAAAUGACUGCUAAUACCGCAUAAGACCACGGAGCCGCAUGGCUCAGUGGGAAAAACUCCGGUGGUAUGAGAUGGACCCGCGU